RNAcentral lists this long non-coding RNA (859 nucleotides) under Panax ginseng (ginseng). Its description in RNAcentral is "long non-coding RNA (PGIN_LNC007496)". Lineage: Eukaryota; Viridiplantae; Streptophyta; Magnoliopsida; Apiales; Araliaceae. The record is from RNAcentral.
AAUAACAUCAAAAAUACAGGCACACGCACAUACAUGAGGUUAUCAUUUUCUCUUAAUUCAAGGAGGGUUACUUUUCACUUUAUUAAGAAGAUUAAAUCAUUAAUCUUUAGUUGUUAAUCCUUAUGUUUUAUCUAUCUGAUGACUUGUCUGACAUGCUUGAGACAGGCUUUCUGGAUGAAGAUGGUUUAAUUUGUAAACUUGUUUAAAAUUGAUGAGAAGAAAUUAAUAAGUAUGGAAGAGAGCUGAGACAAUUGAUUGGGAUAACUUUGGUUCAUAUAUGGGGGGAAUACCUUGUGAAAGAAAAAUGGGAUUGCGGGUGAGGAACUAAUAGUUGGCUUCUGUACCCAACUAGAAGCAAAUGGCUUAAGCAAAAUUUAUGUUUGGUCGAGGAUAAUGGCAUUAUUGGGUCACAGCAUGUGGUGGCAGGUGCCACAAGCUGUACUUCUUGGAUGCGGAUAAGAACAUUGAUUUAUAAUGAAACUAAUGCUGUGAAUUAUGAAAGUGGUACGUGUGACUCUGUGCCCUCGUCAAGGUACACAUUGUAACUCCAUGAAUGACCUGACAUGACCUCACGUCUAUUUCUCCUUUUACAGUUCCCUAAUCACUAAUCUAGAAGAAUAUUUUUGAUAAAUGGCUCAAAUCAAUUUCAGCUAGUUAAUGACAUGGAGAAAUGGUGCUUGGAGUUGAAGAAUAACAGAACAGAUGGUCACCUUCUGCCGAAGCUGUCUUUAACAAGUGGACUUGUAUUUUGUAACAUAGUCACAAUCAAACUAAUCAUUCUUUUAUUCUUUUGUACUUGGUGAGUUGGUGGUACUCAUACUAAUAACUCCACAAUGUCAAGUUGUACUGAAAUAGAAAU